GUGACAGGACCCAAUCAGUACCCAGAAACUGCGGCUGUGUGCCAAACAGCUAUGUCAGACAAGGCUCCCUGUGGGCCCUUUGCCUUGGGUGGUGCUGGUGGAGUGAUUCAGGUGGAGGGAGGCUUCACCGACAUCACCGGAUUCACCACCACCACCACCACCAGCGUUGUCGGUGAUGGUGGUGGUGGUGGUGGUUGUGGGCUUAGCGG
Petromyzon marinus (sea lamprey) is the source of this 209-nucleotide long non-coding RNA. RefSeq lists it as uncharacterized. The record is from RefSeq and is a predicted model, not a curated record. Lineage: Eukaryota; Metazoa; Chordata; Hyperoartia; Petromyzontiformes; Petromyzontidae.